Molecule: long non-coding RNA, 882 nt
Filed under: Brassica rapa (field mustard)
Lineage: Eukaryota; Viridiplantae; Streptophyta; Magnoliopsida; Brassicales; Brassicaceae
Description: long non-coding RNA (BRAP_LNC003646)
Source: RNAcentral
CCUAAACUGUCGUUUGGAUCAAGAUGCGACAACAAGCAAUAGAGAUCAAGUCCGAUAUGUUCACAAAACACCCUAAUAUCUACUUUCACUGAUUAGGGAUGCAAUGCUCAAUCAAGUUAUGUCUAGCAACCUAUAACACUUUUGAUGAAUAGAUUAAACCAAGAAUCAGGCACUAAGUGGUUAACUUGAUGCAAGCCUUAAGAACAACAGUGAAUGAAGACAAUCGAUUUAUAACUUAUUUAUGUCAAGCUCACGGAUCUAACACCCUAGACUAAGCAAGCUGACUACUCAGCCAUGAAGCAAGAAAACACAGAGACAGAGACUGAAUAAAACAUGUGUAGAUAAAAUAGAAUAAGGGUUCAGGGGGUUCUUCUCUCUGGUGAGAGAGAUGGAGCCUUCUCCCUUUACAAAGUAUCAAAUCACAAAUCUCUAAAAGCUCAAGUCUGAUUCCUUGUCUCAAAAACAGCGUAGAAUGUAAAAAAAAAAAGAGAAAAAUAUGAUAUAUCAAAGCCACAGGCGGCUGGGAGAGAAAAUAGAGAGAUUAUGGCAAAUCCCGAAAUAAGUUGUAGUUUCCUUAAAAAUCUCUGCCGCUGGAACAGACACUCGGAACAGUCACUCAGGUUGCUCCGCUAUCCGGAACAGUCAUCAAGACUGUUCUGCGUGAAAAUCACCAAAUUGUACUGUUUUCAGCCUCUUUUGUUCCAGCUGGUCCAUCUCCCAUCCAAUGCAACUCCAUACCUGUAAUGAUUCGAAAAGGACUACGAAGACUCGAUAAAGACUUGAAAACCAAUGAAAAACAUAUAUACAAGAUGUAUAAAACACCAUAUGUUUUCUUCUUAUAGCUCAUUUUUAAUGUCCUAUGUAUAAAACACCAUAUGUUUU